UUUUAUGAGAGUUUGAUCCUGGCUCAGGACGAACGCUGGCGGCGUGCCUAAUACAUGCAAGUCGUACGCUUCUUUUUCCACCGGAGCUUGCUCCACCGGAAAAAGAAGAGUGGCGAACGGGUGAGUAACACGUGGGUAACCUGCCCAUCAGAAGGGGAUAACACUUGGAAACAGGUGCUAAUACCGUAUAACAAUCGAAACCGCAUGGUUUUGAUU
This 216-nucleotide ribosomal RNA is filed under the name Salmonella enterica subsp. enterica serovar Typhimurium. Its description in RNAcentral is "partial 16S ribosomal RNA". It matches the Rfam family "Bacterial small subunit ribosomal RNA", at positions 1 to 201 of the family's 1533-position model. Lineage: Bacteria; Pseudomonadati; Pseudomonadota; Gammaproteobacteria; Enterobacterales; Enterobacteriaceae. The record is from RNAcentral.